CCUACGGGAGGCAGCAGUGGGGAAUAUUGGUCAAUGGGCGCAAGCCUGACCCAGCAACGCCGCGUGAGGGAAGAAGGCUUUCGGGAUGUAAACUUCUUUUCUCAGGGACGAAGCAAGUGACGGUACCUGACGAAUAAGCCACGGCUAACUACGUGCCAGCAGCCGCGGUAAUACGUAGGUGGCAAGCGUUAUCCGGAUUUAAUGGGUGUACAGGGCGUGUAGGGGGGGGUGCAAGUCAGAUGUGAAAACUAAGGGCGCAACCCUGGGCCUGCAGUUGAAACUGUGUGUCUUGAGUGCGGGAGAGGUAAGCGGAAUGCCGGGUGUAGCGGUGAAAUGCGUAGAUAUAAGGAGGAACACCAGUGGCGAAGGCGGAUUGCUGGACAGUGACUGACGCUGAGGCGCGAAAGCGUGGGGAGCGAACAGGAUUAGAUACCCGGGUAGUC
Molecule: ribosomal RNA, 443 nt
Filed under: uncultured bacterium
Lineage: Bacteria
Description: partial 16S ribosomal RNA
Rfam family: Bacterial small subunit ribosomal RNA
Source: RNAcentral